Molecule: ribosomal RNA, 119 nt
Filed under: Carlito syrichta (Philippine tarsier)
Lineage: Eukaryota; Metazoa; Chordata; Mammalia; Primates; Tarsiidae
Source: RNAcentral
GUCUACAGGCAUAACACUCUGAACAAACCUGAUCUCAUCUCAUCUCAGAAGCUAAGCAGGAUUGGGCCUGGUUAGUACUUGGAUGGUACUUCUUCAGGCAGUUCAAGAAAGAGGAAGCA